UAUUAAAAAUUUCAUCCAUUUCUACUGUUAAAAAUAAACAUGGCUGAUGGAAUAACCAAAUAGUUACAUGUAGCGUGCGUGUAAAAUAGAUGAAGAAACAAGUUUUUAACAAUAAAAAUGGAUGAAAUUUGUAACA
This is a non-coding RNA of Gossypium hirsutum (cotton), 136 nucleotides long. Lineage: Eukaryota; Viridiplantae; Streptophyta; Magnoliopsida; Malvales; Malvaceae. The record is from Rfam.